Molecule: ribosomal RNA, 301 nt
Filed under: uncultured bacterium
Lineage: Bacteria
Description: partial 16S ribosomal RNA
Rfam family: Bacterial small subunit ribosomal RNA
Source: RNAcentral
CAGUCGCCGCGGUAAUACGUAGGGUGCAAGCGUUAAUCGGAAUUACUGGGCGUAAAGCGUGCGCAGGCGGUUUGUUAAGACAGAUGUGAAAUCCCCGGGCUUAACCUGGGAACUGCAUUUGUGACUGGCAAGCUAGAGUCUUGUAGAGGGGGGUAGAAUUCCAGGUGUAGCGGUGAAAUGCGUAGAGAUCUGGAGGAAUACCGGUGGCGAAGGCGGCCCCCUGGACAAAGACUGACGCUCAGGUGCGAAAGCGUGGGGAGCAAACAGGAUUAGAUACCCGGGUAGUCCCUGUCUCUUAUAC